This 253-nucleotide ribosomal RNA is filed under the name uncultured bacterium. Its description in RNAcentral is "partial 16S ribosomal RNA". It matches the Rfam family "Bacterial small subunit ribosomal RNA", at positions 524 to 776 of the family's 1533-position model. The record is from RNAcentral.
GACGAAGGAUCCAAGCGUUAUCCGGAUUCAUUGGGUUUAAAGGGAGCGUAGGCGGGUCUAUAAGUCAGUGGUGAAAUCCUAUCGCUUAACGAUGGAACUGCCAUUGAUACUGUAGACCUAGAGUACAGAUGAUGUUGGCGGAAUAUGACAUGUAGCGGUGAAAUGCAUAGAUAUGUCAUAGAACACCGAUUGCGAAGGCAGCUGACAAAACUGUAACUGACGCUGAGGCUCGAAAGUGCGGGGAUCAAACAGG